Molecule: long non-coding RNA, 2232 nt
Organism: Equus caballus (horse)
Lineage: Eukaryota; Metazoa; Chordata; Mammalia; Perissodactyla; Equidae
Source: Ensembl
GGGCAGAAGGACAGGAGCAUAGGAAUUGGGGGUCACUGGUUUGUUGGUGGGCGAGGGGAUCCAGCCUUCACGGAUGCUGACAUCUUGACAAAGAGGCUGGAUCAGAGUUUCAAGCAGCAGCAGAGUAUAAACUGCUUACUGAGAAACACGCGCAGACUAGGCGCAAGAAGCCUAAGAAGAUUCUAAGAAAAUAAACACAUCUGCAAAGUGUUCAACCGUGGUCAAUUUCCUAUACUGGAAUGCUUUAGAACUGGUGGAAAAAAUACAAGCCUCACGCCAUUCACAGACCCGCUGGCUCAUCUGAGAGUCCUGGAUCAUCGGCGAGAAGCCCCAAGGGAAGACUUCUCUGUGACCUUACUCAUCUCACUGGGAUGAUUGGUGAGGCUGGGAUUUCUCUCACAAGGUGCUGGCGACACAUUUGAACAAGACAUUUCCAGGAGUUUUAACCAUCCUCCCAUUCUCUCCUGGCUCCUUAUGCCCAUUCACCCACUGGCACCAGAAGAUGCUAUCCCAGGGCCAGAGGGGACCUCGGAGAGCCUCUUUCUUGCCGUCAGUGUGGGAACCUGGCUGCUCACCUGAGCCCAGAAGUCAUUAAACAAAAUCCUUCUUUCCAUUCAAAACAGAUCCCAUUGUGGAGAAGCUCAAGUUAGUAGGUGAAAGCAGCCAGCUCUGUAAACAGCUUCUGGGGUAAACUGCCCAUGUAGGUGGGAGCGAGGCUGCUGUGUGUGUUUUAACAUCAACAAUCAUCUGUUCUCUGCUUUCACUCUUGUUGGGGGAGGUUUCCAAGCUGUGCACCCUGAAACUGAAGAGCUCGCCUUUCAGCCCUACCCGGAGUGAGAAGGGAGACGCAGAGCCGGUGGGCGGUGGACCCCGGCCCCUUCCCACCUCGUCACACAGCAGCCCCGCUUGCAUCUGCUUUAGAGAUCCCGCCUCUGCAAAAACCUUUGUUGAAAAAAGUUUCAGAGGCCAAAUACAUCGGCCAACCUGAGCUUUGAAUGACCGAUGGUGCAAAAGCAGACCGCUCCAUCUCUCAGGCACCCAUCGUCCAUUGGUUUAAUUCCUGCCCAUUCUGCCCCUUCUGACCGUCAGCCUUGGGCAUUCGAUUGUGAAGAGAUGGGAUUCAAUGCCGUCAGUUGCAUGUUUGUCAAUCAACCACUAGAAACUAUGAGUCCUGCGCUAAAACCGCUGUGCCGGAAGAAGUGCAGUGUGUGGUACACGGAGAUCUGGUCUCAGAUGUGCUUAUCCUUAAAAUUAUGAUCGUUAUGCUCCGGCUGGAGAAAGCAGUGUGCUAGUAAAUGUUUAACAACUGGAUCUUCAGGGAGGAGAAAAAAGCCUUGCUUUAUAGCACUUGCUGAUUACCGUGGUGUGAAUACUCCCAACAAGGUCAAUUUCAAUCUACCGACCUGACAUCAUUGAGCACAGAGCUGGGAGGAGACAUGCAGAAGCACGCUGCUGUGUCAUAUCUUCCCCUCUUAGACAUCCAGAAGACACGAAUAACCUCAAAGCACAGCUAAUGAACCUCUAGUCAAAUAUUUAGGAAAGGAUGCGUGUAGAACAUUUGUUGCCUCUGCUCUUAAUAUAAUUUACUUAAUUGGAGAUUCGCAUCAUUUACUUUAUAGUAAUGGCUGGAUUGAACAAUGGGUGCGCCAAAUCCAGGAGAGUUUCACAGUUUGCUCUUGCGAGCUGGGUGCUGGCGGGCGCUGGCUCUAGGACACUUCUGAUGGCGAUCCCGUUGGAAAGCGACUUGAGCCACUUGGCCAAGCCUCAAGACACUUAGAUUCUCUCAAUUCGAAAGCUUGAGAGCUUCGGGUUGCUGCACUGGGAGAUCUGAGAGCCGCAAAAUACACUUUAGCAUGAGGGUGAAUUUAAGGUGACCUGUUACUGCUUCUUAAGAAAGUUGUAGGGGAAACUUUCUCUCAAACUGUGAAAUGAACAAUUUUCGUUCUAGUUGACUUGCUUCUAAGGCCAAGGAGAGACAGCCUUUCAAGUUCCUGCUGGACGAGGCUGCAUGUCGAACAGGUGCUCUUCAGAUUUGGAAGCCAGACGUUGUAUUGCUGUGAGAAGCGAUUAGUACAACUUCCAGAUACCGCAGGUUGGCAUCGGUGCUGGCUCCUGCUUCCUGCUUCCUGCCGUGAGUGGGGGUGUUUUUCCUGGGAUGCUGAGGCCAGAGUACACAGACAGAAAUGUGGAAGGGUAGGCUUUUGACCAGAAGUAACAGCAAGUAUGAUGUGA